Molecule: unclassified non-coding RNA, 343 nt
Filed under: soil metagenome
Description: partial contains 5.8S ribosomal RNA, internal transcribed spacer 2, and large subunit ribosomal RNA
Rfam family: 5.8S ribosomal RNA (bases 1-120)
Source: RNAcentral
GAUGAAGAACGUAGCGAAAUGCGAUACGUAAUGUGAAUUGCAGAAUUCAGUGAAUCAUCGAGUCUUUGAACGCACAUUGCGCCCCCUGGUAUUCCGGGGGGCAUGCCUGUCCGAGCGUCAUUGCUGCCCUCAAGCACGGCUUGUGUGUUGGGCCUCCGUCCUCCUCCCGGGGGACGGGCCCGAAAGGCAGCGGCGGCACCGCGUCCGGUCCUCGAGCGUAUGGGGCUUCGUCACCCGCUCUUGUAGGCCCGGCCGGCGCUUGCCGACACAUCAAUCUUUUUUCCAGGUUGACCUCGGAUCAGGUAGGGAUACCCGCUGAACUUAAGCAUAUCAAUAAGCGAGG